RNAcentral lists this ribosomal RNA (467 nucleotides) under uncultured bacterium. Its description in RNAcentral is "partial 16S ribosomal RNA". It matches the Rfam family "Bacterial small subunit ribosomal RNA", at positions 28 to 506 of the family's 1533-position model. The record is from RNAcentral.
GACGAACGCUGGCGGCGUGCUUAACACUUGCAAGUCGAACGGAAAGGCCCUGCUUUUGUGGGGUGCUCGAGUGGCGAACGGGUGAGUAACACUUGAGUAACCUGCCCUUGACUUUGGGAUAACUUCAGGAAACUGGGGCUAAUACCGGAUAGGAGCUCCUGCUGCAUGGUGGGGGUUGGAAAGUUUCGGCGGUUGGGGAUGGACUCGCGGCUUAUCAGCUUGUUGGUGGGGUAGUGGCUUACCAAGGCUUUGACGGGUAGCCGGCCUGAGAGGGUGACCGGCCACAUUGGGACUGAGAUACGGCCCAGACUCCUACGGGAGGCAGCAGUGGGGAAUAUUGCACAAUGGGCGGAAGCCUGAUGCAGCAACGCCGCGUGCGGGAUGACGGCCUUCGGGUUGUAAACCGCUUUCGCCUGUGACGAAGCGUGAGUGACGGUAAUGGGUAAAGAAGCACCGGCUAACUACGU